AAGUAAAGAAGUAAAUAUUACAUUUAGUUUCGACCUAAAAAUAGAGUUAAACUCCAUACUUU
RNAcentral lists this transfer RNA (62 nucleotides) under Limnogonus hypoleucus. Its description in RNAcentral is "tRNA-Arg". The record is from RNAcentral. Lineage: Eukaryota; Metazoa; Arthropoda; Insecta; Hemiptera; Gerridae.